This 465-nucleotide ribosomal RNA is filed under the name uncultured bacterium. RNAcentral describes it as "partial 16S ribosomal RNA". It matches the Rfam family "Bacterial small subunit ribosomal RNA", at positions 338 to 795 of the family's 1533-position model. The record is from RNAcentral.
CCUACGGGAGGCAGCAGUAGGGAAUUUUCGUCAAUGGGCGCAAGCCUGAACGAGCGAUGCCGCGUGAGUGAAGAAGGCCUUCGGGUCGUAAAGCUCUGUUUCUGGGGAAAAAAGGCAGCAUCAGGAAAUGGUUGCUUACUGAUGGUGCCCCGCCAGAAAGUCACGGCUAACUACGUGCCAGCAGCAGCGGUAAUACGUAGGUGGCGAGCGUUAUCCGGAAUGAUUGGGCGUAAAGGGUGCGCAGGCGGUCCUGCAAGUCUGGAGUGAAACGGAUGAGCUCAACUCAUGCAUGGCAUUGGAAACUGGAGGACUGGAGAGCAGGAGAGGGCGGUGGAACUCCAUGUGUAGCGGUAAAAUGCGUAGAUAUAUGGAAGAACACCAGUGGCGAAGGCAGCCGACUGGACUGUUGCUGACGCUGAGGCACGAAAGCGUGGGGAGCAAAUAGGAUUAGAUACCCCAGUAGUC